AGAGUUUGAUCAUGGCUCAGAUUGAACGCUGGCGGAAUGCUUUACACAUGCAAGUCGAACGGCAGCAUAGGUGCUUGCACCUGAUGGCGAGUGGCGAACGGGUGAGUAAUACAUCGGAACGUGCCCAGUCGUGGGGGAUAACGUAGCGAAAGUUACGCUAAUACCGCAUACGAUCUACGGAUGAAAGCGGGGGAUCGCAAGACCUCGCGCGAUUAGAGCGGCCGAUGCCUGAUUAGCUUGUUGGUGGGGUAAAAGCCCACCAAGGCGACGAUCAGUAGCUGGUCUGAGAGGACGAUCAGCCACACUGGGACUGAGACACGGCCCAGACUCCUACGGGAGGCAGCAGUGGGGAAUUUUGGACAAUGGGGGCAACCCUGAUCCAGCAAUGCCGCGUGAGUGAAGAAGGCCUUCGGGUUGUAAAGCUCUUUUGUCAGGGAAGAAACACCGGCUCUAACACAGUCCGGGAAUGACGGUACCUGAAGAAUAAGCACCGGCUAACUACGUGCCAGCAGCCGCGGUAAU
This 522-nucleotide ribosomal RNA is filed under the name uncultured bacterium. RNAcentral's name for it is "bacterial SSU rRNA". It matches the Rfam family "Bacterial small subunit ribosomal RNA", at positions 8 to 524 of the family's 1533-position model. The record is from RNAcentral.